AUCUCCAAUAGCGAAUAUGAAUGUUGUUGUGGUUAGACAGCUCGUAGUUGGAUAUCUGCCGAGGACGGCUGGUACGCCCUGCACGUGAGCAUCUGGGGCGGCCUGGGAAUCGUCUUGGUGAACAAGUAUGCAAUUGACGGUGUGGUGCGCUAUCCAGGAACUUUACUUCGAGGAACUUAGAUUGUUUCAAGCAGGCCCACGCCUUGAAUACAUGUUCUUGGAAUAAUGAGUUAGGGCCUCGCUUCUAUGUUGUUGGCAUCUAGAGCUGAGGUAAUGAUUGAUAGGGAUAGUUGAUUGCAUUCGUGUUAAACUGAAAGAGGUGGAAUUCUUGGAUUUGUUAAAGACGGACUAUUGCGAAACCAUUUGCCAGUGAUGAUU
Molecule: ribosomal RNA, 378 nt
Filed under: uncultured eukaryote
Lineage: Eukaryota
Description: SSU rRNA
Rfam family: Eukaryotic small subunit ribosomal RNA
Source: RNAcentral